CCCUGGGUUGUCCUGUGGCGCCCGCCGAGGGUAGGGGCGCUUCCGCAGCCGGCCGGCCGGGCUGACUAGAGGGGCGUGUGUGGCGAAUGAGGGGGCCCACGGUCGGGGACUGGCGGCGACAGGCUGCUAGACGCCUAGCAGAAAAUGGCAAUGUGCCAGAUUGGAGCUGCUCCUUCAGCCUGGAUCUUAGGAUGAAGAAAAUGUGGAAGAGUUAUAACCAGCAUGGAGGCUGAUCCUAGGGCAACGGGGACUUAUAGGAGGAGGCAGUCCCAUCUCCUGUUCAUAUGAGACGACAUAUAACACGAGCAAGAAAGCAACGUUUGCUACUGUAGCCACUGAGAGUUUGAGGUUGUUUGUCAUAGGGUAGCCCAGAGAGAGCUGACUGUUGCAGCCUCCAUAAGCAGUCUGUUUCCUUGACUCCACACACUAUGCUCCUUUCCCAGGGCUCUGUACAGAGCAUAUGCUGUCCACAGCUUUUCUAGUCCUCACAGAAUUAGAGCCACUUAACUCACUAUCAAUUUAGUCCCAAAAGAUGUGCUCAGAACUUGCUGGCUCUGCCCAAGUUCUCCAGGGUGUGGCCACAGGAAAUCUAGAAACCUGUUGAUUUUCUAUUAGUACAUACAACAGAAUGAUCAUACAAGCUGGCCCUUAAUAGCAAAUAGUUGGUGCACUAAUUAAACAUAGCAGUGCGCUGAAAUAGGGUCCAGCCCCAGGGCGAAAUCCUCAGAAGACUGAUCCAAAGACCCCCAUCUCAUGAAGAACCUGUUUUCUUCAUGCCCAAUUUUUAUAGUUCUCACUACCUGCCAACCUUUCCUAUUCGCCCUUCUGACUCUGACCCAGUCUUUAAGACAUGCCUCUCAUGAAUCCUACUUUUCAGGAUACCUGCAUAGAUGGUGGGAAAGUGCCCAGGGACGACGUAAAACAGCAGUGUGGUGCCAGGAGCCUGGUUAAACCCCAAGGCAACUGUCUCCAGAGUGCUCUAGCACUAGGCUGCACCAAGGAGGCAAGGAGACGUUCAGAAGUUUCCAGAGGCAAAUUAGGAUCAGAAGCCAAGGGAAAUGGAAUUGGGCAUCAGAAAAGCAACACUGGCAUGAAGCUGUAGACAGCAGGCAGAAUCAUUGGAUGGAAAAGGAUAAAAGAAUGGUGAGAGGAAGUGCAGAGUGGGUGAGGUUCAGCAGUUGUGACACCACAACUGCAAACACGGGGCUUGAGGCAGAACAUUUCUUUGUGUAGAGGCUGGAGGGUGUGGCAGCUCCUCCUUCAAGGAUCUUCCCUAACUUCUUUGGUUCUCACAGAAAACCUAGGCCACUGGGCCAAGCCCUCCAGGUCAGCCCUGGUGCAUGAGCAAGGGUUCUAAGGUCAUGCCAGGGAGGGCACCUGUUAGGUGUCAGUCAGAGCAAGGGCAGCGGGGAAGGAGGCGAGAAGUCACAAGCUAGGAGUGGCAAGGGGGGUCGGGGCUGGCGGAGCAGAGAAUCCAAGGGCAAAAGCAGGAAGGAGUAUGGGAAUUGGGGAGAUAAGAGAGGGGCUGGCUGUUCAGACAGCAGGCAAAGUGGAACAAGGUGUGGGUGCAAACUGGGGUCAGGAACAACCCAGAAAAUGGAUUCUGACAGCUAUUUGACUUUUAAACAUUGGUUUGGGGUAAUUCUGUUGGGUGAGAACUUAAAGUGCCAAGCUCUGAUACCCACCUCUGCUACUCUGAACCAUUCACUGUAAGAUAUAAUCAUAUAUUGUUUUGUGUUUCCCCUGCUAUUUUACAUGUGUUUCUUUUGACUCUCCCAACUGAGACCUAGACUCUGUCUUGUGUUUCUUCAGUCUCUCCCACUGUCUUGUGCAGUGAUGAGCUGAUGGUUAUUAAUUUAUGAAUUAAUACCUACCAUCAGUCCUUUUUAUUAUUUGUUCUCCUGGCCAUUGUCACACACGCAUGCAUUCAACAAAAUUUUAUUUUUAUACAUUAUAAAUAAUAACAAUAUUUACUGAGUACUUAUUAACUGUGAGUCAAGCAUCAUGCUGGGUGCUGAAACACAUAUAUCGAUAAAGCAUACUCCUGGUCCUUGAAGAACUCACAGGCUGGUGAGGAGAGACAGACAUGCAAGAAGAAAGAGUGUGCUCUCUAUGGUGUAUGAAGGGUGGCUUCAUAGAAGAGAAGAGAUUUUUUUGGGUCCCAAAGGAUACAUAGGAGUUCACCCGGUGGAUAGGACGGGGCAAGUCCCACAGGCAGAGGGAAUGGUAUGAGCACAGGCAUAGAGCUUGAUUCUUCGGCUCCAUUCUAUCCUGUAGACAUAGGACACCCUGUCCUAGGGCCCUUCUACACCUAAAUUCCAUGAGUCCUUGGUUAAGGAUAAAUGUACAACUUCUGUUUAUACUGUGCACAAAGUGAGAGCCUUGGCUUUAUUCUUUUGCCUCACUGACAAACAUGCAAGUAAAGCCAGUUGCUUUUUUGAUGGGGCUUUGUUGAAUUUUUAAUCUCUCAUCAAAAGUCUAAACAUGAGGUUCUUUGCCUUUUUCCUUGUGAGCACUAGACUUGAGUGGCAACUUGAAAGAAUUACUCUUCUCAUCUUGUCUGCUUUUGAUUAGUGAAUUGAAGUACUAUACAUCAUGAAUAAAUACUUCACAUUCA
Molecule: long non-coding RNA, 2617 nt
Organism: Equus caballus (horse)
Lineage: Eukaryota; Metazoa; Chordata; Mammalia; Perissodactyla; Equidae
Source: RefSeq, a predicted model, not a curated record